RNAcentral lists this ribosomal RNA (416 nucleotides) under uncultured bacterium. RNAcentral describes it as "bacterial SSU rRNA". It matches the Rfam family "Bacterial small subunit ribosomal RNA", at positions 344 to 777 of the family's 1533-position model. The record is from RNAcentral.
CUAGGCAGCAGUGGGGAAUCUUAGACAAUGGGCGCAAGCCUGAUCUAGCCAUGCCGCGUGAGUGAUGAAGGCCUUAGGGUCGUAAAGCUCUUUCGCCAGGGAUGAUAAUGACAGUACCUGGUAAAGAAACCCCGGCUAACUCCGUGCCAGCAGCCGCGGUAAUACGGAGGGGGUUAGCGUUGUUCGGAAUUACUGGGCGUAAAGCGCACGUAGGCGGAUCAGAAAGUAAGGGGUGAAAUCCCCGGGCUCAACCCUGGAACUGCCUCAUAAACUCCUGGUCUAGAGUUCGAGAGAGGUGAGUGGAAUUCCAAGUGUAGAGGUGAAAUUCGUAGAUAUUUGGAGGAACACCAGUGGCGAAGGCGGCUCACUGGCUCGAUACUGACGCUGAGGUGCGAAAGGGUGGGGAGCAAACAGGA